GAUGAACGCUGGCGGCGUGCCUAAUACAUGCAAGUCGAGCGAACAGACGAGGAGCUUGCUCCUCUGACGUUAGCGGCGGACGGGUGAGUAACACGUGGAUAACCUACCUAUAAGACUGGGAUAACUUCGGGAAACCGGAGCUAAUACCGGAUAAUAUAUUGAACCGCAUGGUUCAAUAGUGAAAGACGGUUUUGCUGUCACUUAUAGAUGGAUCCGCGCCGCCUUAGCUAGUUGGUAAGGUAACGGCUUACCAAGGCGACGAUGCGUAGCCGACCUGAGAGGGUGAUCGGCCCCACUGGAACUGAGACACGGUCCAGACUCCUACGGGAGGCAGCAGUAGGGAAUCUUCCGCAAUGGGCGAAAGCCUGACGGAGCAACGCCGCGUGAGUGAUGAAGGUCUUCGGAUCGUAAAACUCUGUUAUUAGGGAAGAACAAAUGUGUAAGUAACUAUGCACGUCUUGACGGUACCUAAUCAGAAAGCCACGGCUAACUACGUG
RNAcentral lists this ribosomal RNA (497 nucleotides) under uncultured bacterium. RNAcentral's name for it is "partial 16S ribosomal RNA". It matches the Rfam family "Bacterial small subunit ribosomal RNA", at positions 28 to 507 of the family's 1533-position model. The record is from RNAcentral.